This 1253-nucleotide ribosomal RNA is filed under the name metagenome. Its description in RNAcentral is "SSU rRNA". It matches the Rfam family "Eukaryotic small subunit ribosomal RNA", at positions 528 to 1792 of the family's 1831-position model. The record is from RNAcentral.
AAUCCUUUAACGAGUACCAAUUGGAGGGCAAGUCUGGUGCCAGCAGCCGCGGUAAUUCCAGCUCCAAUAGCGAAUAUUAAAUUUGUUGCAGUUAAAAAGCUCGUAGUUGGAUCCAAGGUUAGGCAUGCCUGUCUGUUCUUAGUAGCAUGACUGUGUGUGUCUGCCUUUAUUAGUCGAAUGUUCAUUAUGGUGGUCUUCAUCGACUGCUAUGAUGUGCUCAACACGUUUACCUUGAAAAAAUCAGAGCGAUCAAGGCAGGCCUUCGUGCUUGUAUGUUGUUGCAAGGAAUAAUAGAAUAGGACUUCGGUUCUAUUUUGUUGGUUUUGAGAAUUGAAGUAAUGAACAAUAGAGACAGUCGGGGGCAUUUGUAUGGUGGCGUUAGAGGUGAAAUUCUGAGAUCGUCGCCAGACAAACUACUGCGAAAGCAUUUGCCAAGGAUGUCUUCAUUAAUCAAGAACGAAAGUCAGAGGUUCGAAGACGAUCAGAUACCGUCCUAGUUCUGACCAUAAACGAUGCCGACCUACAAUCGGGGGUGGUUUAUUAUAUUGACCCUCCCGGCUGUCCUCAGGAAACUUUAAGUUGGUUCUGGGGGGAAUAUGGUCUCAAGACUGAAACUUAAAGGAAUUGACGGAAGGGCACCACCAGGAGUGGAGCCUGCGGCUUAAUUUGACCCAACACGGGGAACUCACCCGGUCCGGACACUGGUAGGAUGGACAGAUUGAUAGCUCUUUCUUGAUUCAGUGGGUGGUGGUGCAUGGCCGUUCUUAGUUGGUGGAGUGAUUUGUCUGGUUAAUUCCGAUAACGGACGAGACUCUGUCCUGCUAAAUAGUCCAGUGGCAUCAAUCACUAUGUGAUUACAGCUGCUGUUACUUCUUAGAGGGAUUCGCGGAUUUAAACCGCAAGAAAUAGAGCAAUAACAGGUCUGUGAUGCCCUUAGAUGUCCGGGGCCGCACGCGCGCUACAUUGACAGUAGAAGCGAGUAUUUCUACCUGGUUCGAAAGAAUUGGGAAAUCUUCGAAUUACUGUCUCCACAGGGAUUGAGGUUUGCAAUUUUGCCUCAUGAACGAGGAAUUCCCAGUAGGCGCAAGUCAUCAGCUUGCGUCGAUUACGUCCCUGCCCUUUGUACACACCGCCCGUCGCUACUACCGAUUGAGUGCAUUAGUGAGGACCUCGGAUUGAGAACAUAGUGGCGCAAGUUACUUUGUUUUCGAAAAGUGGUUCAAAUUUGUGCAUUUAGAGAUAGUAAAAGUCGU